Molecule: long non-coding RNA, 1365 nt
Filed under: Taeniopygia guttata (zebra finch)
Lineage: Eukaryota; Metazoa; Chordata; Aves; Passeriformes; Estrildidae
Description: lncRNA (ENSTGUG00000026280.1)
Source: RNAcentral
CCCGGUGCCUUUAAUUCCCGUUUCCCGGCGCAGGCCCGGCCCCUCCGGUGACACAGCAGCGCCGGCGCGGGGCCGGGCGGAGCGCGGGGAGGCUGCGGCCGGAGCGGGGCCGGGCCGGGCCCUCCGCCGCUCAUGGCCCUGCCCGGGGCCCGCUCCGCCCGCCCGGCGCCCGGCGAGAGCCCGGCCCUGAGCCCGCAGCGCCGCCGGUGCGUCCGGGGGGCUCCGCCGGAGGGGGGUCCGGGAGGGCGGGAGCCGCCGGUGCGUCCCGGGGGAGCGGGAGCGGGGAUGGGGCACCGGGGGAGCUCCGCCCGCCCCGAGCACGGGGACAGCCCGGCCCUGCCGAGCCCGCAGCGCCGCCGCGAGCGGAGCAGAGCGGCCCCGGCCCCCGCGGAAAAGCCCUGAGGGAGGCGGGAGCCGGCGGCGAGGAGGAGGAGGAGGAGGAAGAGGAGGAGGAGGAGGAAGCGAGGGAAGGAGCCGGGGGAAAACAGGAGCGGGAAGAGCUCGGAGCGGAGCCCGGGAGCGGCCGGAGCGCGCCGGUGAGUGCAGAGUGUCCCCGUGUCCCCGGGGUGUCCCUGUCCGUGUCCCCGUGUCCCUCUGGGUGUCCUCCUGUCCCUGUGUGUGUCCCUCUGUUCCUGUCCGUGUCCCCCUGUCCCUUUGGGUGUCCCCUCUGUCCCUCCGGGUGUCCCUGUCUGUGUCCCCCUGGGUGUCCCUCUGUUCCCCUGUCUGUCCCCCUGUUCCUCUGGGUGUCCGUCUGGGUGUCCCUGUCCCUGUCCGUGUCCCCGUGUCCCCCUGGGUGUCCCUGUCCGUGUCCCUGUGUCCCCCUGGGUGUCCCUGUCCGUGUCCCUGUGUCCCCCUGGGUGUCCCUGUCCUUGUCCCCCUGUCCCUCUGUCCAUCCCCCGCGGUCCCACCCUGCCAAGCUCAGCCUGGGGAGGACAGCGGGAGCCCACAGAGGCGGGGUGGAAGGGGAGGGGGUGACAUUCCCAGCGACACUCCCAACCCCCAUCCUGCCCCCCACAAUUUGCGGCGAGGAGCAGCCUGAACCCUCCCCAAGAACCUUCCCGUCCCUUGUCCCUCUGUCCCCGCAGGAGGACAGCCGGACACCGGACCCGCCACCCUUCCUCCUGGGCGACACCCGCUGGAAUUCCGCUUCCGAGCAAACCCUCUCCUCCUCUUCCUCCUCCUCCUCCUCCUCCUCCUGCUGCCGCCACCAGCGGUGUCACCGCAGGGCCACCGGCGGAGCGUCCCCGCAUGGUGCAGCAGCGGCGGCGGCGUUAAGAUGGUGAGAGCUGGCCGGGCCGGGCCGGGCGGGGAGGAUGAGCAGCGGCACCGGCAGCACCGGCAGCACCGGCAGCACCGGCAGCACCG